UUUUUUUUUUUUUAAACUGUGGUGUCCGUCCGCAUGCGGGCCCGACUAUUCCACAGAGCCCUGGAUGCGCGAUCAUUUUUUCAAUGCCUCCAGUGGCCCUGUGGAGGCUCGAACCUGGGACCUUGAGGACUUUGUCCUCAGUGGUUUUACCAUCUCGGCUACCCCUCAGGGUUGCCAAAGUUUUAACUAAUACUCCCUCCAUCUCAUAGUCAUAGUUAUUAAAUGCUUAAAAUAAUUGACUCAAAUUAUAAAAUUAAAAAUAAAAUUAAAUUUUUUUAUCUUUAAUACUCCCUUCGUUUCAAUUUAUGUGAACCUGUUUGACGGGCACGGAGUUUAAGUAAAAAAUGAAGACUUUUGGAAUUUGUGGUCCUAAACAAGUCCAAAUGGGGUCCAGAGUAUUUGUGUGGUUAUAAAAGCUUCUCAUUAAGGGUAAAGUUGUAACUUUAAGCUAAAUUGUUACCAAAUUUAGAAAGGGUUCAUUCUUUUUGGAACGGAUCAAAAAGGAAAUAGGUUCACAUAAACUAGAACAGAGGGAGUAAUAGUUAUCCUUAAAGACUACAAACACCUCAAUUAUUGAUUAUUUUAUUCAAAUACUAAUAAAGAAAAAAUAAAUAUUAAGAUAUAAAUAAAGAUAAAGUAGUCAAAAUUCCAUCCUAAUUAAUUUUUCUUAAUGAGCAUGUAAUAGAGAAUCAUGACAUAUAAUAUGAGACGGAAAAAGUAAUAUUACCAUUUUGGUUUGAUUUAAUACCAUAAAAACCCCUUAAACUAUUAUGUUUUUGUCAGUUUCUUACUUAAAUUAUUCAGUAUACCUAAAACCCCUCUGAACUAUGUUGCCCUUCAUAUUUUAACUCCUUCUUGCUUACUUGGCCGCUGAAAAAGGCCGUCAAAAUGACCCACCUUAUAAAAUAUAAUGUCUAAUUAGUCUAACCUUCUUUAACUUUUUUUUUAAAAAAAAUAAAUAUUCUCAAUAUUUCCUUUAUAUCCACCUUUCUUCCUUGUUUUUCACCAUUGUUCCUUGUUUUUCACCUUUCUUUUGUAUUUUUUCACCUUCUUCUUCAUUUUUUUUUCCACUUUUUUCCUUCAGUUCUCCAUAUGGGUUCCCUUUGGAAAAAAAUUUCCUCUCAUGUUUCCUUUGAAAUAGUUUAUUUUCUUUCUUUUUUUUAGUCUUCUUUCAUGUCUUAUUCAUAUCGUUGAAAAGACACUCAUUUAGAUCUUCUUAUUAAACCAACACGUUGUUGUAGAGAAUAAGGUUGAACCUCUUAAACCUUACUUGUGUAAUUUAGAAUAAAAGAAUGUAGUUGUUGGCCAAUUGGUUUUUUAUUUUGCGUAAUCUUGUUUAUGUAAUAUAAGAUAAUUUUUCAUAAAUGCAAUAUUAUAUGCCUUUAUUUAUUUUUUAUUCUGUUGCAAAAUAAAUGUAAAUGAAGACUUAUUCAAUUGGAGUUUGGCAUAGAGUACAAUCAUAGUUAAACUUAAAAUUAACCCAUUACAUUAGAUACUAUUUUGGCCAAAACUCCUAGCAUUAAUCAGUCAUUCGAGAGUAAUACAUUAUGGAUAGACUACGUAAAAAUUUAGUACAAACUAUAAGGUAAUGUAGUUAGAAAGAUGUACCUGUAAGAAUUUGAUAUGAGGUUUUAAUAUAUAGGAAAAUAUAGAUCGGGAGGGUUUUGGCUAGAUAACUUAAGCAGGUAACUGAUAAUUUUUUAAAAAUAGUUUAUGGAGGUUUUAGACUAAGUUAAAUAGCUAUAUGUAGUGUCACAUGGCAUGUUUUUUUAGAUAAUUAGGAGCAUGUACUAGUUGCACCUCUAAGAAUGCAACGAGGGGUAUUAAUAUGAAGGGCAAUAUAUUUCGGGGGAAUGGGGGUUUUGGAGGCACCAAAUAGUUUAAGUAGUAAACUGACAAAAAUGUGAUAAUUUAGAGAGGUUUUAGGAUAUUAACUCUUUUGGUUUUAUAGCGAUAUUAGCUAGUAAUAUAUCAAACAUGAGAUAACCAUAAUUCAAAAUUUUAUACCAAAAUUAAUAAUCUUAUCUCGAUAACCAAACGAUCCAUUCCUUGAAGAGCCGUACUAUCACGUGUUACAUACUAGUACUAGCAUUAAAGCACAAAACUAUUUUAACUAUUUUAAAAAUUAUAAUUUUUUAAAUUUAGUUCUUAACACUACUUCAAACAAUACCGAUAAAUUACCGAUCGACAAAUUAUGGUUGAUAAGAAGAAAAAAAUAUUUUUUUAAGAUUCUUGACUUACAUGCCUUCAGAGGCGGAUUUACAGUAUAAAAUAUGGUUCACGUGAACCCGUGGUCCACGGGUUAAACUAUAGAUAUGAUGUAUAUAAUUUGGCAAAAAUAGGUAUAUAUAUUUGAUGGAAUCCUUGGUAAAAAAGAUGAAGUAGUUCAUUGGUUUUGGUCUCUUAUUUCCAAUAGCCUUUAAGGGAUCAAAUUCCCAACCAACUUUUUUGUUUAAUUUUUUUUAAAAAAAUAGUGGUGAACCCAUCCUCCGGAAAUCCUAGAUCCGCACCGUCUUCCAUGUUAGAUUCAUCGUUGGACCUUGUUACCGUGCCGAAAAAGACGUUAUAGCAACCAUCCUGGGCCUUCCUUCAAAAUUUGUCAAAAAUACUUAGCGCGUCGAUACAUCUAUGUUCUUGUAAUCUUACAUAUCUCUAAUGUGCUGUGGUAGAGUUUGAUUGUCUUAGUUUUUUUUGUAACUUAAAAACUUAUAUACCAUAGCAGUUUUUGAUAGCAAACGUUGUUUUUAAGGUAAAUAUUUUCUUUAGAAAUAACAUAAUCCCAUAUUAGUUAAAAUAUUUGUUAAAAUACAAAAUCGUGUGAUGAAUCAUAUGAAUAUAAAUGAAUAUGAGGGACGACGUUAUAUGAUUAGAACACUGAAGAACGAAUUUGGCCAGUACUGGAGCUCUAUGAAAUUAAGUACAGUUUGUCUUGAACUACAAGCUGGUUUAAUUUUUCACAUAGUACAGCUCUGAUCAAGUGCAUCAAAAUGUAUAGCAUAUUGCCGAAUUGUAAAAUUACAGAGUAGGGGCUCUUUCAGCAGUUCCAGCAAUGACAGUGAGCAAGUUGUUGCCAAAGGGAUCACUCAAAUGAGCAGCCAAAUUCUCAACUGGACCUUUUCCUGUCACAUAGGCUUGGAUGAAGAAACCAAGCAUUGCAAACAUGGCUAGUC
RNAcentral lists this long non-coding RNA (3170 nucleotides) under Nicotiana tabacum (common tobacco). Its description in RNAcentral is "long non-coding RNA (NTAB_LNC012422)". Lineage: Eukaryota; Viridiplantae; Streptophyta; Magnoliopsida; Solanales; Solanaceae. The record is from RNAcentral.